This 187-nucleotide ribosomal RNA is filed under the name uncultured Bifidobacterium sp. RNAcentral's name for it is "partial 16S ribosomal RNA". It matches the Rfam family "Bacterial small subunit ribosomal RNA", at positions 338 to 524 of the family's 1533-position model. Lineage: Bacteria; Bacillati; Actinomycetota; Actinomycetes; Bifidobacteriales; Bifidobacteriaceae. The record is from RNAcentral.
CCUACGGGAGGCAGCAGUGGGGAAUAUUGCACAAUGGGCGCAAGCAUGAUGCAGCGACGCCGCGUGCGGGAUGGAGGCCUUCGGGUUGUAAACCGCUUUUGUUCAAGGGCAAGGCACGGUUUUUGGCCGUGUUGAGUGGAUUGUUCGAAUAAGCACCGGCUAACUACGUGCCAGCAGCCGCGGUAAU